GUGGGGAAUAUUGGACAAUGGGCGAAAGCCUGAUCCAGCCAUGCCGCGUGUGUGAAGAAGGUCUUCGGAUUGUAAAGCACUUUAAGUUGGGAGGAAGGGCAGUAAGUUAAUACCUUGCUGUUUUGACGUUACCGACAGAAUAAGCACCGGCUAACUUCGUGCCAGCAGCCGCGGUAAUACGAAGGGUGCAAGCGUUAAUCGGAAUUACUGGUCGUAACGCGCGCGUAGGUGGUUUUGUAAGUUGGAGGUGAAUUCCCCGGGCUCAACCUGGGAACUGCCUCCAAAACUGCAUGACUAGAGUACGGUAGAGGGUAGUGGAAUUUCCUGUGUAGCGGUGAAAUGCGUAGAUAUAGGAAGGAACACCAGUGGCGAAGGCGACUACCUGGACUGAUACUGACACUGAGGUGCGAAAGCGUGGGGAGCAAACAGGAUUAGAUACCCGGGUAGUCC
This 450-nucleotide ribosomal RNA is filed under the name uncultured bacterium. RNAcentral's name for it is "bacterial SSU rRNA". It matches the Rfam family "Bacterial small subunit ribosomal RNA", at positions 354 to 796 of the family's 1533-position model. The record is from RNAcentral.